This 229-nucleotide ribosomal RNA is filed under the name uncultured bacterium. RNAcentral's name for it is "partial 16S ribosomal RNA". It matches the Rfam family "Bacterial small subunit ribosomal RNA", at positions 568 to 796 of the family's 1533-position model. The record is from RNAcentral.
CGCGCAGGCGGUUUUAUUAGUCAGAUGUGAAAGCCCACGGCUUAACCGUGGAAGUGCAUUUGAAACUGUAAGACUUGAGUAUCAGAGGGGAAAGUGGAAUUCCCGGUGUAGAGGUGAAAUUCGUAGAUAUCGGGAGGAAUACCGGUGGCGAAGGCGACUUUCUGGCUGAAUACUGACGCUGAGGCGCGAAAGCUAGGGGAGCAAACAGGAUUAGAUACCCUGGUAGUCC